GGGGAAUAUUGGGCAAUGGACGCAAGUCUGACCCAGCAACGCCGCGUGAAGGAAGAAGGCUUUCGGGUUGUAAACUUCUUUUAAGGGGGAAGAGUAGAAGACGGUACCCCUUGAAUAAGCCACGGCUAACUACGUGCCAGCAGCCGCGGUAAUACGUAGGUGGCAAGCGUUGUCCGGAUUUACUGGGUGUAAAGGGCGUGUAGCCGGGAAGGUAAGUCAGAUGUGAAAGCCCUGGGCUCAACCUGGGAACUGCAGUGGAUACUGGAUCACUAGAGUGUGGCAGAGGGUAGUGGAAUUCCCGGUGUAGCAGUGAAAUGCGUAGAGAUCGGGAGGAACAUCAGUGGCGAAGGCGACUGCCUGGGCCAACACUGACACUGAGGCACGAAAGCGUGGGGAGCAAACA
RNAcentral lists this ribosomal RNA (403 nucleotides) under uncultured Oscillibacter sp. Its description in RNAcentral is "bacterial SSU rRNA". It matches the Rfam family "Bacterial small subunit ribosomal RNA", at positions 356 to 774 of the family's 1533-position model. The record is from RNAcentral. Lineage: Bacteria; Bacillati; Bacillota; Clostridia; Eubacteriales; Oscillospiraceae.